ACUCGUCUGAGCGAGUAUAAACAGUAAUUAAGCUCAGAGCGUCUCGGAGUGAUCCGGGGGUUUAG
RNAcentral lists this ribozyme (65 nucleotides) under Anaerotignum lactatifermentans DSM 14214. RNAcentral describes it as "Pistol ribozyme". It matches the Rfam family "Pistol ribozyme". The record is from Rfam by way of RNAcentral. Lineage: Bacteria; Bacillati; Bacillota; Clostridia; Lachnospirales; Anaerotignaceae. RNAcentral also lists the same sequence under 1 other name.